Molecule: ribosomal RNA, 1367 nt
Filed under: Asthenognathus inaequipes
Lineage: Eukaryota; Metazoa; Arthropoda; Malacostraca; Decapoda; Varunidae
Description: 16S ribosomal RNA
Rfam family: Bacterial large subunit ribosomal RNA (bases 1088-1247)
Source: RNAcentral
UGUAAAUGACUUGUUAAAUAAAUAAAAAGAUUUUAGUUAUUAAGAAAAAUAAUUUAAGAUAUAUAAUUUUUAGUAAUUUUUAAUAAAAUUAGUUUAGGGACUAUAGUUUAGAGUACUGUAAGGGAAAGUUGAAUGAUUUUAAAUAGUAAACUUAAAAUCUUGUACCUUGUGUAUUAGGGAGAAUUUAUAUAAAUUAAGUAAGGUUAAAUAUCUCGAAAUAAAAUAUAGCUAAUUUUAUAAAAAAUUUUUUGUAGAAAAUAAAUUUUUAAUAUAAAAUUAAAGGUGAAAUGUUAAUCGAGUUUUAUGAUAUCUAGUUUUUUAAAAAUAAAUUUAAUUUGGUCUUUAUAAAAACGAAUAUAAAGUCUAAAUGUAGGAGGGAUUAGCUUCUUAUAAAUUAAAAUGUUAAAGAGUUUAAAGUUAAUUAAACAUAUAGUAAAUUAAGCUUAAGAAUAGUUAUAUUAGUAAAGUGUUUUAAUUAAAUUAUUAUUUUAUAUUAUAUAAGUAAACUUUUUGUAGAUAUUAAAAAUUUAACUAAAAUUAAAUUAGUUUAGUUAUAAUGAUUCUAUUAGUAAAAAAUUUUGUUGUUUAAAUAUAAAUAUUAAAAUAAAAUAAAUAAUUUAAUUUGAGAAUUAAAAUAAUAUAAAAGAAUUCGGCAAAUAUAAUUUCUUUGCCUGUUUAUCAAAAACAUGUCUGUUUGGAGAUAUAAAAAGUUUAACCUGCCCACUGAUAAAAUAUUAAAUGGCCGCGGUAUUUUGACCGUGCAAAGGUAGCAUAGUCGUUAGUUUUUUAAUUGGAAUCUUGUAUGAAUGGUUGGACAAAAGAAAAACUGUUUCUAUAUUAAUUAUUGAAUUUAAUUUUUAGGUGAAAAAGCUUAAAUGAAUUAAAGGGACGAUAAGACCCUGUAAAACUUAAUAUUAAAUUUUUAUUUAGUUAAAUUUUUUGUUUAUAAAAACUUUAUAAUCAAUAUUUAUUUUAUUGGGGUGAUAAAGGUAAAAUGGUUAGUAUCUGCUUAAUUUUAAAUACAUUUAUAGUUGAUUAAGGUUUUAAAUGAUCCUAGUUGAAGAUUGAAAGUUUAAGUUACUUCAGGGAUAACAGCGUUAUUUUUUUUGAGAGUACUUAUCGAAAAAAAAGUUUGCGACCUCGAUGUUGAAUUAAAAUAUCUUUAUAAUUGCAGCAGUUAUAAUAGUAGGUCUGUUCGACCUUUAAAAUUUUACAUGAUUUGAGUUCAAACCGGCGUGAGCCAGGUUGGUUUCUAUCUUUUAACAAAAUAAAAAUUAUUUUAGUACGAAAGGAUUAAAUAAUUAAAAUUAUUUUAAAUUUGAUUACUGUUUUAACAAAUUAUUAUUGUGCGGGGUUUAUAUGUCCCU